AUGAAAUGCAGCUGGAACAUCCUCUUCUUGAUGGCACUAGCUACAGGGGUCUACUCAGAAGUACAGCUGCAGCAAUCUGGGCCUGAGGUUGGGAGGCCUGGGUCCUCAGUCAAGAUUUCUUGCAAGGCUUCUGGCUACACCUUUACAGAUUACUAUAUGCACUGGGUGAAGCAGAGUCCUGGACAGGGGCUGGAAUGGAUAGGAUGGAUUGAUCCUGAGUAUGGUAGUACUAAUUAUGCUGAGAAGUUCAAAAACAAGGCCACACUGACUGCAGAUACAUCCUCCAACACAGCCUACAUCCAGCUUAGCAGCCUGACAUCUGAGGACACGGCAACUUAUUUUUGUGCUAGACACAGUGUUGCAACAACAUCCUGA
Non-coding RNA from Rattus rattus (black rat), 375 nucleotides. Lineage: Eukaryota; Metazoa; Chordata; Mammalia; Rodentia; Muridae. The record is from the annotation of a RefSeq genome assembly.